Molecule: ribosomal RNA, 1342 nt
Filed under: uncultured bacterium
Lineage: Bacteria
Description: 16S ribosomal RNA
Rfam family: Bacterial small subunit ribosomal RNA
Source: RNAcentral
GACGAACGCUGUCGGCGUGCUUAACACAUGCAAGUCGAACGGAAAGGCCCUGCUUUUGUGGGGUGCUCGAGUGGCGAACGGGUGAGUAACACGUGAGUAACCUGCCCUUGACUUUGGGAUAACUUCAGGAAACUGGGGCUAAUACCGGAUAGGAGCUCCUGCUGCAUGGUGGGGGUUGGAAAGUUUCGGCGGUUGGGGAUGGACUCGCGGCUUAUCAGCUUGUUGGUGGGGUAGUGGCUUACCAAGGCUUUGACGGGUAGCCGGCCUGAGAGGGUGACCGGCCACAUUGGGACUGAGAUACGGCCCAGACUCCUACGGGAGGCAGCAGUGGGGAAUAUUGCACAAUGGGCGGAAGCCUGAUGCAGCAACGCCGCGUGCGGGAUGACGGCCUUCGGGUUGUAAACCGCUUUCGCCUGUGACGAAGCGUGAGUGACGGUAAUGGGUAAAGAAGCACCGGCUAACUACGUGCCAGCAGCCGCGGUGAUACGUAGGGUGCGGGCGUUGUCCGGAUUUAUUGGGCGUAAGGGGCUCGUAGGUGGUUGAUCGCGUCGGAAGUGUAAUCUCGGGGCUUAACCCUGAGCGUGCUUUCGAUACGGGUUGACUUGAGGAAGGUAGGGGAGAAUGGAAUUCCUGGUGGAGCGGUGGAAUGCGCAGAUAUCAGGAGGAACACCAGUGGCGAAGGCGGUUCUCUGGGCCUUUCCUGACGCUGAGGAGCGAAAGCGUGGGGAGCGAACAGGCUUAGAUACCCUGGUAGUCCACGCUGUAAACGGUGGGUACUAGGUGUGGGGUCCAUUCCACGGGUUCCGUGCCGUAGCUAACGCUUUAAGUACCCCGCCUGGGGAGUACGGCCGCAAGGCUAAAACUCAAAGGAAUUGACGGGGCCCCGCACAAGCGGCGGAGCAUGCGGAUUAAUUCGAUGCAACGCGUAGAACCUUACCUGGGUUUGACAUGGAUCGGGAGUGCUCAGAGAUGGGUGUGCCUCUUUUGGGGUCGGUUCACAGGUGGUGCAUGGCUGUCGUCAGCUCGUGUCGUGAGAUGUUGGGUUAAGUCCCGCAACGAGCGCAACCCUUGUUCACUGUUGCCAGCACGUUAUGGUGGGGACUCAGUGGAGACCGCCGGGGUCAACUCGGAGGAAGGUGGGGAUGACGUCAAGUCAUCAUGCCCCUUAUGUCAGGGCUUCACGCAUGCUACAAUGGCUGGUACAGAGAGUGGCGAGCCUGUGAGGGUGAGCGAAUCUCGGAAAGCCGGUCUCAGUUCGGAUUGGGGUCUGCAACUCGACCUCAUGAAGUCGGAGUCGCUGGUAAUCGCAGAUCAGCAACGCUGCGGUGAAUACGUUCCCGGG